UACGUAGGGGGCAAGCGUUGUCCGGAUUUAUUGGGCGUAAAGAGCGUGUAGGCGGCUUUACAGGUCCGUUGUGAAAACUCGAGGCUCAACCUCGAGACGCCGGUGGAAACCGUAAGGCUAGAGUCCGGAAGAGGAGAGUGGAAUUCCUGGUGUAGCGGUGGAAUGCGCAGAUAUCAGGAGGAACACCAAUAGCGAAGGCAGCUCGCUGGGACGGUAUUGACGCUAAGGCGCGAAAGCGUGGGGAGCAAACAGG
This 253-nucleotide ribosomal RNA is filed under the name uncultured bacterium. RNAcentral describes it as "partial 16S ribosomal RNA". It matches the Rfam family "Bacterial small subunit ribosomal RNA", at positions 524 to 776 of the family's 1533-position model. The record is from RNAcentral.